CCUACGUGUGGCUGCAGUGAGGAAUAUUGGUCAAUGGGCGAGAGCCUGAACCAGCCAAGUCGCGUGAAGGACGACGGUUCUAUGGAUUGUAAACUUCUUUUGUAGAGGCAUAAUGGCAGCUACGAGUAGCUGCGAUGCAUGUACUCUACGAAUAAGUAUCGGCUAACUCCGUGCCAGCAGCCGCGGUAAUACGGAGGAUACGAGCGUUAUCCGGAAUUAUUGGGUUUAAAGGGUGCGUAGGUGGCGUAUUAAGUCAGUGGUGAAAAGCUGCAGCUCAACUGUAGUCUUGCCGUUGAAACUGAUAUGCUAGAGAGGAGACGAGGUAUGCGGAAUGUGUGGUGUAGCGGUGAAAUGCAUAGAUAUCACACAGAACGCCGAGUGCGAAGGCAGCGUACCAGGCUCCGUCUGACACUGAAGCACGAAAGCGUGGGGAUCAAACAGGAUUAGAUACCCGGGUAGUC
This 461-nucleotide ribosomal RNA is filed under the name uncultured Porphyromonas sp. RNAcentral describes it as "bacterial SSU rRNA". It matches the Rfam family "Bacterial small subunit ribosomal RNA", at positions 338 to 795 of the family's 1533-position model. Lineage: Bacteria; Pseudomonadati; Bacteroidota; Bacteroidia; Bacteroidales; Porphyromonadaceae. The record is from RNAcentral.